CCUACGGGUGGCAGCAGUAGGGAAUCUUCCACAAUGGACGAAAGUCUGAUGGAGCAACGCCGCGUGAGUGAAGAAGGGUUUCGGCUUGUAAAGCUCUGUUGGUAGUGAAGAAAGGUAGAGGACGUAACUCGCCUUUAUUUGACGGUAAUUACUUAGAAAGUCACGGCUAACUACGUGCCAGCAGCUGCGGGAAUACGUAGGUGGCAAGCGUUGUCCGGAUUUAUUGGGCGUAAAGCGAGUGCAGGCGGUUCAAUAAGUCUGAAGUGAAAGCCUUCGGCUCAACCGGAGAAUUGCAUCAGAUACGGUUGACCUUGAGUGCAGAAGAGGUAGGUGGAAUUCGAUGUGUAGCGGUGGAAUGCGUAGAUAUAAGGAAGAACACC
This 380-nucleotide ribosomal RNA is filed under the name uncultured bacterium. Its description in RNAcentral is "partial 16S ribosomal RNA". It matches the Rfam family "Bacterial small subunit ribosomal RNA", at positions 338 to 710 of the family's 1533-position model. The record is from RNAcentral.